Molecule: long non-coding RNA, 1166 nt
Organism: Hyla sarda
Lineage: Eukaryota; Metazoa; Chordata; Amphibia; Anura; Hylidae
Exons: 3
Source: RefSeq, a predicted model, not a curated record
UGAAGAAGUCCUCGGCAUACACAGAUCUGAAAUGAGAAUAAAAGAACACGAAACAUUAAAUAAGAACAUAUGAGUUCAGGGGGGUGUGACUUAACUAUGACGGGCUGAGGCUGCACACCUAAGGAGCUCCAACCUGACCGCUUCUUUGAUCAGUGACUUCCCAGGACACCUGAUUCCGAAGAUGGGGGACGAUGAGACGGCAGAGACAGGCCACCGAGUGUUCUGUUAUCCACCCUCGGACUGGCUUCGGCAGUAGCCUCGGAAACGGGGAUACGCCGCUUCAAGAGAUAUCCGCGUGCACUCGGGUGAAGUGAGACGCCGGCGACAGCAGGAGUUCCAUAGCGCACACGCCAGCGGCAAGCCACGAGAAAAGAGAGUCGAGCAAAGAGAAAACUGCAGGUACAUAGGUUAUCUGGAUAACACCUGGCUGCCCGUGAAGGUCCACGAGAUAUGCUAUGUCGCAUCCAUUACUAUACAGACAGAGAACGGAUUCUACAUGCAACUCGGGAUACAGGAUUUAUUAAUUAUGAUGCAUCUCAAAUAAGUUUGUUCCCUGAUGUCUUGGCCCGCUCCCUAUAUAUGCGAAGACUGCUUCAGCCAUUGCUGGAGCAGAUACGGGAGUCUGGAGCUAGUUAUCAAUAGGGUCACCCCUUCCAUUUGAUUGUGCGGAAAGACUAUGAAACUUUCUGUUUGAGACAACAUGCUGAUCUCCCGAGACUGUGCUUAUUUUUGGGGAUUGACCUAAUACCACUCCCAGACUGUCUCUCUCUUGAACAUCUGGAAGCUAUGCCACAGCGACAUGCGCACCAGAGAGAGGGCACUAGGCGUUCUAGUGACAUUGCAAUGCAACCUCAACCACUACAAUUGGAUCUCUUGGGUUUUCUCCCCGAGGAAGCAUGAUCCUGUUAUAAGGAUAGCAAAUACUAAAGAAACUCAUGACUGCUGGAUCAGACAACAGGAAUAAAAGAUUGCAUAAUGCUGAGAAGAUAGAUUUGUGAUAAUACUGUACAUACAUAUUUACUCUGUUAACACAGGAUAAAAGGCAUUCAUGCAUAGUUAUGAUGAUCUACUGUACCUGUUCUCUAUAAUACAAAUAUUAGAAAAGGUGUGUUUGUGCAGUGAGCUAUUUAUUCCUUUAAGAUUUCUGUAUUUCAAUCUUGAAAAUC